Molecule: ribosomal RNA, 468 nt
Filed under: uncultured bacterium
Lineage: Bacteria
Description: partial 16S ribosomal RNA
Rfam family: Bacterial small subunit ribosomal RNA
Source: RNAcentral
GACGAACGCUGGCGGCGUGCUUAACACAUGCAAGUCGAACGGAAAGGCCCUGCUUUUGUGGGGUGCUCGAGUGGCGAACGGGUGAGUAACACGUGAGUAACCUGCCCUUGACUUUGGGAUAACUUCAGGAAACUGGGGCUAAUACCGGAUAGGAGCUCCUGCUGCAUGGUGGGGGUUGGAAAGUUUCGGCGGUUGGGGAUGGACUCGCGGCUUAUCAGCUUGUUGGUGGGGUAGUGGCUUACCAAGGCUUUGACGGGUAGCCGGCCUGAGAGGGUGACCGGCAACAUUGGGACUGAGAUAAGGCACAGACUCCUACGGGAGGCAGCAGUGGGGAAUAUUGCACAAUGGGCGGAAGCCUGAUGCAGCAACGCCGCGUGCGGGAUGACGGCCUUCGGGUUGUAAACCGCUUUCGCCUGUGACGAAGCGUGAGUGACGGUAAUGGGUAAAGAAGCACCGGCUAACUACGUG